CCUACGGGGGGCAGCAGUGAGGAAUAUUGGUCAAUGGGCGGGAGCCUGAACCAGCCAAGUCGCGUGAGGGAAGACGGUCCUACGGAUUGUAAACCUCUUUUGGCGGGGAGCAAUGCCGGGCACGUGUGCCCGGAGGGAGAGUACCCGCAGAAUAAGCAUCGGCUAACUCCGUGCCAGCAGCCGCGGUAAUACGGAGGAUGCGAGCGUUAUCCGGAUUUAUGGGGUUUAAAGGGUGCGUAGGCGGAUUUUAAAGUCAGCGGUAAAAUGUCCGGGCUCAACCCGGGCCGGCCGUUGAAACUGGGGAUCUUGAGUGGGCGAGAAGUAUGCGGAAUGCGUGGUGUAGCGGUGAAAUGCAUAGAUAUCACGCAGAACUCCGAUUGCGAAGGCAGCAUACCGGCGCCCGACUGACGCUGAGGCACGAAAGCGUGGGGAUCGAACAGGAUUAGAUACCCGAGUAGUC
Molecule: ribosomal RNA, 460 nt
Filed under: uncultured bacterium
Lineage: Bacteria
Description: partial 16S ribosomal RNA
Rfam family: Bacterial small subunit ribosomal RNA
Source: RNAcentral